This 501-nucleotide ribosomal RNA is filed under the name uncultured bacterium. RNAcentral describes it as "bacterial SSU rRNA". It matches the Rfam family "Bacterial small subunit ribosomal RNA", at positions 791 to 1289 of the family's 1533-position model. The record is from RNAcentral.
UAGUCCACGCCCUAAACGAUGUACACUAGUUGUUGUGAGGCUAGACCUUGCAGUAAUGCAGUUAACACAUUAAGUGUACCGCCUGGGGAGUACGGUCGCAAGAUUAAAACUCAAAGGAAUAGACGGGGACCCGCACAAGCGGUGGAGCAUGUGGUUUAAUUCGACGAUACGCGAAGAACCUUACCUGGACUUGACAUAGAAAGAAUAACGCAGAGAUGUGAUAGUGCUUGCUUGCAAGAACUUUCAUACAGGUGCUGCACGGCUGUCGUCAGCUCGUGUCGUGAGAUGUUGGGUUAAGUCCCCGCAACGAGCGCAACCCUCGUCGUUAGUUGCUAACAGUUCGGCUGAGAACUCUAACGAGACUGCCUGGGUAACCAGGAGGAAGGUGAGGACGACGUCAAGUCAUCAUGGCCCUUACGUCCAGGGCUACACACGUGCUACAAUGGCGUGUACAGAGGGAAGCUACCUGGUAACAGGAUGCAAAUCUUUAAAGCACGUCCC